UGUGCCUACGGGGCGCAGCAGUGGGGGAUAUUGCACAAUGGGGGGAACCCUGAUGCAGCGACGCCGCGUGGGUGAAGAAGCGCCUCGGCGCGUAAAGCCCUGUCAGCAGGGAAGAAAAUGACGGUACCUGAAGAAGAAGCCCCGGCUAACUACGUGCCAGCAGCCGCGGUAAUACGUAGGGGGCAAGCGUUAUCCGGAAUUACUGGGUGUAAAGGGAGCGUAGACGGUGAUGCAAGUCUGGAGUGAAAGGCGGGGGCCCAACCCCCGGACUGCUCUGGAAACUGUGUAACUUGAGUGCAGGAGAG
RNAcentral lists this ribosomal RNA (305 nucleotides) under uncultured bacterium. RNAcentral describes it as "bacterial SSU rRNA". It matches the Rfam family "Bacterial small subunit ribosomal RNA", at positions 333 to 656 of the family's 1533-position model. The record is from RNAcentral.